GGGCUUGACAUCCCACGAACCUGCCUGAAAGGGCGGGGUGCCCGCAAGGGAGCGUGGAGACAGGUGGUGCAUGGCUGUCGUCAGCUCGUGUCGUGAGAUGUUGGGUUAAGUCCCGCAACGAGCGCAACCCUCACCCCUAGUUGCCACCGGGUAAAGCCGAGCACUCGAGGGGAACUGCCAGCGUCAAGCUGGAGGAAGGCGGGGAUGACGUCAAGUCAUCAUGCCCCUUACGCCCUGGGCUACACACGUGCUACAAUGGCCGGUACAAAGGGACGCGAGACCGCAAGGUGGAGCUAAUCCCAAAAAACCAGUCUAAGUUCAGAUUGCAGUCUGCAACUCGACUGCAUGAAGGAGGAAUCGCUAGUAAUCGCGCAUCAGCACGGCGCGGUGAAUACGUUCCCGGGCCUUGUACACACCGCCCGUCACACCACGAAAGCUGUCUGUACUCGAAGUCGCUGAG
RNAcentral lists this ribosomal RNA (460 nucleotides) under uncultured Methylomirabilota bacterium. RNAcentral's name for it is "bacterial SSU rRNA". It matches the Rfam family "Bacterial small subunit ribosomal RNA", at positions 977 to 1434 of the family's 1533-position model. Lineage: Bacteria; Methylomirabilota (SeqCode). The record is from RNAcentral.